Anas platyrhynchos (mallard) is the source of this 964-nucleotide long non-coding RNA. RefSeq lists it as uncharacterized. The record is from RefSeq and is a predicted model, not a curated record. Lineage: Eukaryota; Metazoa; Chordata; Aves; Anseriformes; Anatidae.
UUACUCCCUACAGCAUGGCAUAAAGCACACGUUGCCUUUGCUUGUGGCAAAGUUGCCUGCCACUCAGACUCGUUUUAGUUACACCAUAACUCAGGUUGCUGCUGCUUGCCACUGGCAGGGGCAAGCAGGAGGGGCAGGCUGACCUUCAGCAGCUUCCACAGGAAUGCUUCCAGUUUGCCCACGGUGAGAACGAGGGCUUUAAACACCAGGCUGCCAGGGAGCCAGUGAAGGCUGGCUUUGGAGUUUACAGAUCCCCAGUUCUGAAGAUGUUCAGAGCCACAGCUGUCCUAAGAGACCUCUGAAGAUGGAAAACAGCAAUGCAGGCUCUGGAGUCUUAUUUUGCCUUGAAAGGUGAGACCCGGGACGUGCUCCUCAGGAAGGUGGGAACCAGCCUGCAGGCUACUGGGGCCAGACCGCCUAUCUUCGGCUGAACCUGGCUGCAGGUUAGGGCUGCAGGUUUCCAGAAGAAACGCAAAGAAUCAGACGCGGCCGAUAAGUGAAGUAAACAGGGUCCGAACACCAUGGCAACAAGAGCAAAUUCCUACCUACCUGCUCUUAUAUAUGUCCUCUCAAGCUUGCUGCAGCGUUACCCUGCUGCUUGACAGUGUGUGCUUUCUGCUGUGGGGUGCAACAGCAUGAACACUAUCAAAGUUAUUUUGCCCUCGAGCAACCAUAAUCUGCACGGGGCUCUGUUUGACUGUGCUCCUUACUAUAAAGAACUGCAGUACUUCUAUGAACAGCCCUUAAAAGAUAUAAUCAACCUUUCUUUUUUUUAAAAAGAACGCUUCUGUGACUUUCAAAUGUGCUAUAAUUAUGUGAUACUUAAAAUGAUUUCAAAUAAAACAAUUCUAUAAAUAAAUAAUUCCUGAUUUUUUGUUGUUGUUUUCUAUAUGGUUUGAGCAGCACUUUGCACUUCUGUUUGUGUCGCUUUUCAAUGCAAUAGCAAAAGAAAGGGAAACUUGGA